CUUAUGAUUGUGUGUUUUCUCAUCCAAAGACUCGUUCAUGGAACAACAGCAUAGAUUGUUGCUCAUGGAAUGGAGUUCAUUGUGACGAGACGACAGGGCAAGUGAUUGAGCUUGAUCUCCGUUGCAGCCAACUUCAAGGCAAGUUUCAUUCCAAUAGUAGCCUCUUUCAACUCUCCAAUCUAAAAAGGCUUGAUUUGUCUUUUAAUGAUUUCACUGGAUCGCUCAUUUCACCUA
RNAcentral lists this unclassified non-coding RNA (234 nucleotides) under Hevea brasiliensis (rubber tree). The record is from RNAcentral. Lineage: Eukaryota; Viridiplantae; Streptophyta; Magnoliopsida; Malpighiales; Euphorbiaceae.